GAUAGUGCACCGCACACUUGACGCGAGCUAUCAUUGCACCGCGUUCUGAUAUGGCUGCAUUGCCAGGCCCAAAAACGAGUUUUACGGCAACAACAGCAACCAGGUUGACGUUGACCCACAUAGAACAUGUGCAUCACAUACGUAUAUAAGAAUAUUAAUAUAGAGACGACUAUCGUCUGUGGCAUUAGCAUAGAGCUGGUCAGUUUUCAAUUGCGUUCGUUAUGGAUUGUGAUUAAGACUGAGACAACAAGUUAGAUAUUUGUAUUCCUAUCAGAAAUGCCAAGUGAAGUCGUCUGAUAUUGCACAGAUUUGAGUCACUGGUAAUUUGUUGCAAAAACUGCUUCACUUGCCCAAAACGCAUUUUCGAAUUAAACAUACUGGCUCUGCAAAACUUGGAAUCGAUAUGGAUGCAAAAAAGACAAACAUUGCCCCGCAAAAGCCUUGAAUAUUUAUGUUACCAGGAAUUUUUGUUUGUCUGUUGCGUACAAGAAUUCAGUGGUGAGUACUCUUUGAUUCUUUAUAUAUAAUUAAAUUUCGUAAUAUUUGUACGAUCAUCUAACUUUAGAAGAACUCAUUCUACAAAAUAAACCACUUCUACGGCAACAACCAAAAUAUCGAAUAGUAAGAUCUCCGAUCAGGCAACACCUGCAGAAGGCAAAGAAAUGCGUUCGAAGACCGCCUCCUUUCACAGCUCCUAAAAAGUAUUCUAAAAGUAUUAAAUACUGUGGCCUAAAGGACCUUUCCUCAGGCAGUGUACAAAUUCUACUUGUCCCCUGGAAUUCCAGGACCAGGAUGGCCAUGACAGCAGUAGAAAAUGCAAACCAUCGCUGCGCGGUGAUCAAUCGAGAUCUCCAGACUCUGUUCUUGUUGUCGUUGCAUUUCCAGAAUACUAGACAUGGACUCGUUGUCGCACUACCCAAGAUGGUGGUGAAGUCAAAACUUUCAGGGCGCUGUAUAAGGGGGGAUAAUAAGCCUAGUUGCUGAAAUGUUUUGCCGACCCGUUGGUGGCCUGCCUCAACGAGCAGACCUCUACCGCAUCUCAUCAGUUUAAAAAGCUCUUCCUUACGUCGCACAAUACUUUUUAUUGGACCUGAAAGAUGCAAUAUGUUCAUAAAAAUUGAGUAAAUAGCUGCUUACUGAAAAAAUGGUCAACUUUGAAUGCUCAUUUCUCUUAAAAUAGACAUCCGAUAUUCUCGAAGUUUCCAUUUUUAGAAGUUCUAGAAAGUUCUCUACCAGGUGCGUGUAUAUAAGGUAUCCAAAGUUCCCCUUUUUUUGGAUCUUCAGUCCCAGUACUUCCAGCGCUCUGUGGCUUCCGGCCCGGCCCACUGUGCUCUCGGACUGCCGGUUUCUAUACAGUAUAUCUAUACUUCAACCAGACCUCCGAUGCCAAUUAGUUCAAGGUGAUCUUCGCUAUCCCAGUGCUAAGCAGAGUGUCAUACUCAAUGUGAAUUCGAUCAGGUCUCAGUCGCAGUUCCACGUAAAAGUCGUAAACCGAGUCAAAGCCAUGGGAAAUGGCCACUGGAGGUGCAAUGCUCAGUUCUGGGUGUUCUUCCCAGAAUUCUUCAUCGUAGCUCCGAUGCCAAUUAGACCAAGGCGAUCAUUGUUAGCAAGCAUAGUGUCGUACUCGAUCUGAAUUCGAUCCAUGCUGAUUAAUGAAAAGCGGUUGACACGAAAUCUGCCAAAGCUUUGGAAAAUAAAGCAGGCUGGAGCUUCUAAUUUCCUUCGCGAUGCAGUGAAGGUGAAGGUUAAUUUGCAUUCACCUUGAGCAGAGAAGUGGCAUAUGAUCAGUCCAUGGAGAAGGUUCAGGAAACAAACGGGCGGACAAGAAUUAACCCACUCCCGGGUCAAGUCGCAACUGCAUAGUAAAACCAUUGGGUACAAAUAUUCGAAAAAGCCAAUUGAAUGGCGAAUAGCCAUAGUGAUUACUUGACAAAACACCAACGAAGGCCGUGGAAUAGCUAGGUCGGGCUGAACCGAACCCGUACCGGUCCAGGUCAAGGUCGAGUUGGACUGAGGCUUGAAACUCUGGUGUGGGCCAAAGGCGGCACGUCGACGUCAGUGCAGGGUGGGCAAUGCCCCAACCCGAAAAAAACGAUCCAAGUGUAUAUACAAGGCAGUCCCUGUCGUGGUUACCCCAACGGAUUGCGCACUCGGACGUGCCCGCCUAGCCGACAGGUGAGGGCCCUAUCCAUAUCCAUCAGCAGACAACCGGCUGUGGGUGGUUCACCCUUAGAUUAGAUCACCCUGAACCGCUUGCUAAACCGCAAGUUUCGGCAUAAUUGAAUGCAGCUGCCAGAACUUGGCCAAUCUGAUUGCCAAAUAAUACGACUGUCAGCGGAGCUCGCCCAACCUUGGCAUGCGAGCACAAGUGCUGAGGACGGCACAAUCCAAAAACAAGCCGAAAAUUGCAAGCUCAUGAUACACUCUCUGG
Molecule: long non-coding RNA, 2431 nt
Organism: Drosophila pseudoobscura
Lineage: Eukaryota; Metazoa; Arthropoda; Insecta; Diptera; Drosophilidae
Exons: 3
Source: RefSeq, a predicted model, not a curated record